GCAAAACCACUCAGCCUUAGCCCAGUAGACAGUGCAUAUGCAUGCUGGGGGAGAGGCUUAUCGAAGUUAUUAACAAAAUCCGUGUCUGAUAAUAAGGAAUAUAUAAUUAAGGAAGCAUACAUCGUAUAGGUUUCCUAGGCUUGUGGACUAAGCUGUAGUAAACUCGCUAAAAAAAGAUUGUGAAAUCAUGAAUAAACCCUAUUUUUCGAAUGGCAUUCAUGGCUUUCCCGAAAUUCGUUAUGAAGAAAUUCAUUUUUCUUGUUUGCAAGAAUGUAAAGAUAAAGGAAAAAAAGUAUAAUUUAAUAUAUUUUAAGCAUUGGACAUUAGAGAUACAAGAAUUUACGUGAAAACUCCAACCUUGAAGAAAAUCAUGGAAGGUAAAAGAAAGAAACUAUCUUCUAUGCCAAAAUUUGUUAGAAUCAUAUGGUUUGUCACAUGCUCAUGAACCUAUAUACUAAGAAAAAAACAUUCAUAAUCAAUGCUACAGAACCAAAAUUGUCAAUAUAGCUCCUACCGGUGGCAGUGGAAAUAAUAAAUCAUGUUUCGUUUUUACUUGACUUAUUGCUGCAAAGCUUCUAAUAAGAGGCUUUACUCAGUAACAUGCAAGCACAACUUUUCUUGUGACUGAAGAACCGGAAAGUAUGUUAGAGAAUUGAAGAUUGCGGCCACAAGGUUGAGUUGUUGAUCAAGCUCGAGAUUAAGAAUAAUGGAUUUACAAGGAUACAUGUAACUCAUUUUAUCGCCUUAUCAUAAUCCUAUAUUUAUAUUUAAGCUUUUAUGCUAUGCAUAUAUCUGUAUAAGAUAUUUCAAUUUUAAGCCAAAUCCUUACCAAAAUCACAAAAAAAUAAUAAUAAUAAUAAUUUCUUGGAAAUUGUAUGAGACAACAUCACAAUGGAGAAUGCAUUCAUUGGGUACAAUUUGUAAUGCUUUAUUUUUUUGGGCAAUUAGUAGGAUAGAGAAGGUAAAAUUAACAUAUCAUCGAAUUGAAAGCAACGGCCUUGUUCUCGAGAUUAUGGACAGUACAAAACUACAAAGUUGUUAAAACUCUAUAAUGAAUUUUUUAAAGUUAAUGAGAAAAUACUCGUAAUGAAUUACAACGCUCUAUAUUAGCAUCCAUGAUACUAAGGUUCGUGCAGGAAGGGGAGAUUUAUGUCCUCUAUUGAACCAUAUUAAGUGCUUUGUAGCAUUAUUUAAAUAUCGAAACAAAGGGAAGAAAAGGAAAGAUUAAAAUAUGUGCUGAGACUCAAUUGCUUACAUCAUCGGCUAUUUGAAGUGUACCAUUUUCAUCCUGCAAAAGCAUAAAAUGGACUUUAUUACAAAAUAGCCUUGUGGAUUUCAAAACAAAAAAGAAAUUAGUUCAAGGUGUUAUGAAAAAAAUAUAUAUAUAUAUUAUUAUCAGGGGAUAUUACAUAAUACUAGAGAGAGAUCUUUGAACUAAAUGAGGAAAUUUUACGAAUGAUCAUUAAUCCUUUACCGAUUCACCCUCUGGAAUUCUCUACGGAAUUUUUACAUUAAUUAUUAUGGAGAACGUUGUCUUUUCAAGCUUCCAUCAUUUCCUACAUUACCAUGGAUUAUUUUAAACUUCUCCCUAAGCUUUAGAGAAGAACUAUACCAUGGUAUCUUGCAAACGCUGAUGGCUUACACUUUCGGCCAACAGUUGCAUCUGAUGGCGUCUCUGGUGUCCAGCCUUCAAUUGUGCUUCCAUCUAGUUUACGUCGUGUCCCCCACACAAUCAAUCUGUGGGUCCCCUCGUGCAUUCUCCAAUAACCUACAUGCCUCUAUUCCUUGCUUGCUUGCUAGUAAUGUUGCACAUCUCGCUUCUAUACUAUGCCUUGGAAUCCUUGUUGUCUCACUUUUGUCCCAGCCUUCAACCCUUUGUUUUGGCGUUGUAUCUCUUAGGUCAUCUCUAACACUUCACUAAAUUUUGCAUCAAACUAAAAUUCAUCUCCAAUUAUUAUGCCAGAACUUACACCAAAUGAACAGUGUUUAACUAUUUUAUUUCCUUUUUUAUUCUUAAUAAUUUAUUCAUUUAAUUAUUUUAUAAAUGCAUAAAUUACUAAAUAAAUAAUUACGUUAAAUUAAGAAAAAGAUUAAAUUCAUUAAUAAAUAUAAAAAAUAGUACAAUUAAUAAAAGCACUACAACAAUGAAAAUAUUAAAUCAUGCCAUUAAAAAAUAGUGCAGUGCAUUUCGAAUUAGGAUAUGAUGGUAUUACGAAGUCGAAAUAUUAUUGUAAUUCAAUUCUCGAAAUUCGUAUCUUUUUUUAAAUAAAAUUAGAUUAUUUUAUAUAUGUCGUCGUUUAUAUUUUGUGUUAACUUUAAGAAAUAAUCGUAUUUAUUAUUUUUAAAUUUUUUUCUUUUUUAUUUAAUUCAUUAAUUAUUAUUUUUUUCAUUUAAAAUUUAUUUUAAAUGCAAAUAAUAAUAAUAAUAAUAAUAAUAAUAAUAAUAAUAAUAAUAAUAAGUUAUUGUAUUAAAAAUAUAUAGCACAAAUGACACAAAUAUCCUUAAUCAAUUUAUUUGGGAAAUGAAAAGUAAGGCUAAAAAUGACAUUGUAUACUUUGCACCAUUUGGUGCAAAGUGAAUAAUGUUGCACAAAGUUUGGUGCCACACUGGAGGAAAUUUGCAUCAAAAUUUGGUGCAUUUUGGUGAAAUGGUGCAUAUAUUGGAGAUGCUCUUAGCCUUUGUCCCUUAUCGAUGUCUGUGUUGUCAUCCAGCUUUCAAUUCAUCACCUCGCACACUUCUUACGCUUUCAUGUUGCUUUUCUAUGCGAAAUUUGUACAGUUGCACAACAUUUCUCUCACACCAAAACCCUUAAGCACUUCCAAAUAUUGCCUUUGUUAUUUUUUAUUGAAACGUUACUUUUUAAUGUCAAGUAUUAAUUUUAGUCACGUAUUUCUCAAGGCUCAUAAGUACUAACCAAAUAUCUACCACUCAUUUUUUGAAAUGCAAUAUUGAAGCAAACGAAAAUGAAACUCAAACAAAGGCAUUAUUUUCGAGCAUGGCUACAAAUGACUAACUACUCAUAUUCCUAAUAGGAAAUAAGAAUAAUUACCAAUUGUUGUACCACGAAGGACAACACAAAUCAACUUUUACCUGGGAAAUAAGUAAAUUUGCAUUUUAUACAAGACAAUACAAUUCAAUUCAAUUCUUAAUCAACGUGGGGCAAUAUGUUGGGUUAUUUCCUCUUAUGAAGAGGAAAACCCAUGUUUAGGGUCUUAUAUUAUAGUCCAAAGCCUAUUAGGGUGCUAACCCUAAUGAUGAAUAUAAAUACAAGGAGAUUGGAGAAAAUAGGGGUCCAACCAGUUUUUUAAAAGAGAAGAAAAAUAGUUUUUUUCCCUGCUUCCAAAUUUCAUCAAAGCUUCGAUCUCGAGUCGUCCCGAGUUUGAUCAAGCUGAAAUUUGGAAGAAACAUUCACAAGACAGAGAAUGGUGGGAUUAGAUUUUGAGCUCGAGAACAUUAGUUAAUGUGUGUGAACAGUAACUAGAUUUUCUGUAUAUUUUUUCUAUUUUCAUUUUUUUUUGUUGAGAUUGUCGUUAUCUUGAAGAAAUAUACGUUGUAGCUUCUAGUUAUGACUAGAAAAGACUUGGUGUGCCCAUUAUUUGAUUAAUAAUGGAGGUUUUGACUAGACUGAGUCUCGUGGUUUUUAUUCCCCACAUAGGGAAAGCUUUUUUAUGUAAAAUAAUUGAUUAUGUUCUUAUGGUCUGGUGUGAUUGAUUUUCUUUAGAAUAUUUUCAGCAUAUACAAUUGUCAAAUGGCAUUUUAUUUAUUUGCUUUUGGGAAAAGAAUUAUUUCACUAUUUGUCUAUUUGUUUGCAUAUCUCUCGACAAGUGGUAUCAGAGCUAGAUUUUGAGAUUUGAGUUCUAGAUUAUGAAAAUGAAUUUGAGUAAAAUGAUUAACUUGAAUGGUUUGAAUUAUCACAUAUGGAAAGGAAAAAUGAAAGAUUUUUUUUUAUGUGAAAGAUCAUUACGUAUUGAUGUUUAUAGCUGGAAAAUUGUAUAACAAGUCAAAUGAAGAAUGGAAUUUGUUGUAUAGACAAGUUUGUGGGUAGAUGAUGAUGCUUUGAACUAUGUUGGUGGGGGAGACACAUGCUCGUCCUUCGUGGAGUAAGCUUGAAAAGUUAUAUGCUAGAAAGACUGUUAAUAAUAAGAUGUUUCUGAUUAAGCAGAUAAUGACAUUGAAAUACUAGGAUAGAACUCUUUUAACUGGUAAUCUAAAUAUAUUCCAAUGAAUUAUUAAUCAGUUGGCUGGAUGGGUAUUAAGUUUGAUGAUGAAAUUGAGGGGUUAUGGUUGUUUGGUUCAUUAUCGAACUCAUGGGAGAUGCUCAGAACUUCAUUAUCUUACUUUGUUCCAAAUGGUGCCCUCACAAUAGAUCUGGCCAAGAGUUUAUUGUAAAAUGAAGAAUGAAAAGAAAAUCACAGAGAUCUUCACAGUCACAGGUCUUGCUUACAAAAAAGAGGGGGAAGAGUAAGAGCAAAGGUUAGAAGAACAGAGACAGAAGUAGAGCCAAGUUGAACAAGUUUACGAAUAUUGAGUGUUAUCAUUAUGGAAAAAAUGGAUACAUCAAGAAACAUUGCAGGCAAUGGAAGAAAGAAAACAAGAAUGAAAAAGAGAAUGAAGAGAAGAAUGAGGAUGACAAAGAUAGUAAUGAUAAAGUUGCUACCACCACUCCUGCAAACUUCCUCAUUAUUUAUGACGAUGAGAUGAUCUAUUUUGCAAGUUAUGAGACCAGUUGGGUGAUUGAUAGUGUUGCUUCCAUUUAUGCUACAUCGCGGAAAGAUGUCUUUACAUCCUAUAGAUCGGUGAUUUUGAAACUAUGGAGAUGGGCAGUAAUGGCUUGGUAUUGUAAAUGUGUAUUUGGAGAUGAGUAAUAGUUCGAGGUUGGUUCUUAAAGAUGUAAAGAUAUUCCAGAUAAUCAUUUAAACUUGAUUUCUGCAAGAAAAUUUGAUGAUGAUGGGUAUGGUAGUACAUUUAGUAAUGGUUAGUGAAAGUUCACUUAUGGUAUUAUGGUUGUGGUUCAACUUAAAAGGGCCUCUAUGUUGUAUGUUUUGCAGGCAAAGCUCUCCAGUUACAUCGUUAAUGCAAUGGAGGAUGAUUGUACAGUAGAGUUAUGGCAUAAAAAACUUGCUCACAUGAAUGAGAAAGGAUUAGCUUUAUUGGAGAAGAAAAUUGUACUCAGUAGGCAAAAAGUACACACCUAAAAAAGUGUACUCACUGUUUGUCUGGGAAGCAUAACAGAGUCUUCUUCAAUAAUUUUGUUCUUUCAAAAAAGUCAGAAUUACUGGAUUUGGUACAUUUAGAUAUGUCGGUGAAGACGAGAACAUUUGGUGGCUCCAGUUACUUUAUAACGUUUAGAUGACCAUUUAAAGAAGUUGUGGGUUUACAUGUUGAAGUUAAAAGAUCAAGUGUCGACUAUGUUCAAUCAAUUCCAGGCCUUGGUUGAGAGACAGAUUGAAAAGAAGUUUGAGGAAAUGGAGGAGAGUAUUCUAGUCUUUUUUAUGAGUAUUGCAGAUAGCAGGAAAUUUGACAUUAAAAGAUAACUCUGAAAUCUCCAUAGUUGAAUGAUAUAUUAGAAGUGAUGAAUAAAACAUUGGUUGAGAGAGUGAGAUGUUUAUUUUCUCAAGUACAGUUGCCAAAAUUCUUUUGGGGUGAGGCAAGAAGCACUAUCGUGCAUGUGUUGAAUCGUACACGUUGUGUUCCCUUAUAGUAUAAUGUAUUAGACAAGAGUUUGAAAUGGUAAGGAUGUUUCCUACGAUAACUUGUGUGUUUGGUGCAUUUGUGCAUAUUCCUAAAGAUGAGAUGUCUAAGUUUGAUGUGAAAACACGACAAUGUGUAUUUCUUGGUUAUGGUCAAGAUGGGUUUGGAUACAUGCUCUAUGAUUCAGUUGAGAAGAAAAUUGUGAGAAGCAAAGACGUCGUAUUUAUUGAAAAUAAGACAAUUUAGGAUAUUGAGAAAGUAGAGAAAUCUAUACCUUAGAAGGGCUAUAAUUUAAUUGAUUUGGAUUUGGUUUCUAUGAACAAUUUGCCAACUCAAGUUGAGAAUGAUGUUUAGGAUUGCCACUAGGGUAUAGGUGAUGUUGAUGCUCCUUUGCAGGCUCAGGCGUAUGAUGAGACUAAUGAGCAGUUGAUAGUGCUAGAUAUUACACUAGGAGUCCCACUAGAGAUUCCACUCGGGAGGUCUUCUAGAUAUCUACAUCCUUUCACAUGGUAUUUAGUAGAGUAGUAUGUGUUAUUGACGGAUGGAGGAGAGCUCGAGAGUUAUGUAGAAGCCAUGGAAGAUGAACAUAAGACAGAGUGGGUUGAGUCCAUGCAAGAUGAAAUGUAGUCAUUGUAUGAUAACCACAUCUUAGAGUUAGUGAAGCUACCUAAGAUUAAAAAAGCUUUAAAGAACAAAUGGACCUACAAGGUGAAGCAAAAUGAGUUUUCUUCACAGUCGCGGUAUAAAGUUAGAUUGGUUGUAAAAGAGUUUGGUAAGAGAAAAAGUGUUGAUUUUGAUGAGAUCUUUUCUCCAAUCAUAAAGAUGUCAUCUAUUCGUAUUGUUUUUGGCCUAGCAGAGAGUCUUGACUUAGAAGUUGAGCUAAUGAAUGUGAAAAUUGCCUUCCUUGAUGAUUUGGAGAAAGAGAUUUAUACGGAGUAGCUUGAGGGUUUCAAAGUGAAAGGGAAAGAGUAUUAUGUGUGCAAGUUUAAGAAAAAUCUUUAUGGUAUGAAGUAAACAUCGAGAUAGUGGUACAAGAAGUCGAGUUUACUAUGGGGGGCAAUGCUACAAGAAAACAACUUCUGAAUGAUGGAGAUUGAAUUUCGAGUUCGUGGACAUUGGUUAAUGUGUGUGAGCAAUGACCGGAUAUUUGAUAUAUUUUCCCUAUAUUCAUAUUGUUUUGUUGAUAUUGUUGUUAUCUUGAAGAAAUAUACGUUGUACGCUCCAACUGUGACUAGAGAAGACUUGGUGUAUCCAUUAUUUGAUUAACAAUGAAAGUUUUGAUUGGACCAUGUCUCGUUAUUUUUAAUCCUCACAUCGAGGAAGUUUUUCACAUAUAAUAAUGGCUUGUAUCCUUGUGGUUUAAUGUGAUUGAUUUUCUUUAGAAUAUUUUCAACAUAUACAAUUGUCAAGAGUGGCAUUUUACUUAUUCGCUUUUGGAAGAAGAAUUAUUUUGCUAUUUGUCUAUUUGUUUGCAUCUCUCCAACGCAAAAUUAUUUCCUACAUAAACUGCAUAUUAAAAAUAAUAAAUAAGUCUUUGAAUCAGAAAUUGGGUGAAGUGACCAUGGAUUACCGAGGUUGCCAAUAUAUUUUUCAGAAAAAUAGAAAUUUAUUAAAGGAUAAAUUUAAUUUCAUUAUAUAUCAUGUUAUGUGUAUGAUAAUUAUAUAUGUUUACUUGUAAAAACUUUGCUCUCUUAUUCACGCUAAACCAGAAACUCGCUUAAUUUUGAUGAAAGAAUGAAAGAAAAUUAUAAAAUAAAAAAUGAAAAACUAAAAAGAAAAUAUAGCAAAACCACUCAGCCUUAGCCCAGUAGACAGUGCAUAUGCAUGCUGGGGGAGAGGCUUAUCGAAGUUAUCAACAAAAUCCGUGUCUGAUAAGAAGGAAUAUAUAAUUAAGGAAGCAUACAUCGUAUAGGUUUCCUAGGCUUGUGGACUAAGCUGUAGUAAACUCGCUAAAUUUGAUUAUACAGUAACUGGAUCAUCUUUUUCCAAGUAAUGAUUCAAGCAUAGCAGCCUCUUCUUCCUGGAAAUAUGGCAAUUGAUAUGAG
Molecule: long non-coding RNA, 7736 nt
Filed under: Olea europaea (common olive)
Lineage: Eukaryota; Viridiplantae; Streptophyta; Magnoliopsida; Lamiales; Oleaceae
Description: long non-coding RNA (OEUR_LNC007238)
Source: RNAcentral